This 85-nucleotide microRNA precursor is filed under the name Pelobates cultripes (western spadefoot toad). The record is from RNAcentral. Lineage: Eukaryota; Metazoa; Chordata; Amphibia; Anura; Pelobatidae.
CCCCAGAUGUUGCUGAACUACAACUCCCAUAAUUCUCUAUGUAAUUCAAAGAAUCAUGGGAGUUGUAGUUCAGCAACAUCUGGGG